UGCACUAUAGCUUGCUAAUGACAGUUUGCUAGAUGUUAGCCGAAUAAGCAUACAAACCUUGUAUAAGUUAACCACACGUGCCGUGCCGACGGGGCCGGCCGGAUGUACGUGGCAGUGCGGUACGCGUGCCAUGCGGAGCCGGUCACCGUACCUUGCGUGGCGUCCCGUCUGGUGAGACAGAGCGCCGGGCGCGAACCGAUGCCACGUAAACGGCCAG
Molecule: long non-coding RNA, 217 nt
Filed under: Setaria italica (foxtail millet)
Lineage: Eukaryota; Viridiplantae; Streptophyta; Magnoliopsida; Poales; Poaceae
Description: long non-coding RNA (SITA_LNC007377)
Source: RNAcentral